GACGAACGCUGGCGGCGUGCUUAACACAUGCAAGUCGAACGGAAAGGCCCUGCUUUUGUGGGGUGCUCGAGUGGCGAACGGGUGAGUAACACGGGAGUAACCUGCCCUUGACUUUGGGAUAACUUCAGGAAACUGGGGCUAAUACCGGAUAGGAGCUCCUGCUGCACGGUGGGGGUUGGAAAGCUUCGGCGGUUGGGGCUGGACUCGCGCCUUAUCAGCUUGUUGGUGGGCUAGUGGCUUACCAAGGCUUUGACGGGUAGCCGGCCUGAGAGAGUGACCAGCCACAUUAGUACUGAGAUACGCCCCAGACGCCUACGGGAGGCAGCAGUGGGAAAUAUUGCAAAAUGGGCGGACGCCUUCUAGAGCAACGCCGCGUGCGGGAUAACGGCCUUCGGGUUGUAAACCGCGUGUGACGGUGACGAUGCGUGAGUGAAGGUAGUGGAUAAAGAAGCACCGGCUAACUACGCG
Molecule: ribosomal RNA, 468 nt
Filed under: uncultured bacterium
Lineage: Bacteria
Description: partial 16S ribosomal RNA
Rfam family: Bacterial small subunit ribosomal RNA
Source: RNAcentral